This 404-nucleotide ribosomal RNA is filed under the name uncultured Pleomorphomonas sp. RNAcentral's name for it is "bacterial SSU rRNA". It matches the Rfam family "Bacterial small subunit ribosomal RNA", at positions 378 to 774 of the family's 1533-position model. The record is from RNAcentral. Lineage: Bacteria; Pseudomonadati; Pseudomonadota; Alphaproteobacteria; Hyphomicrobiales; Pleomorphomonadaceae.
AAAGCCUGACGCAGCGACGCCGCGUGAGGGAUGAAGGUUCUCGGAUCGUAUACCUCUGUCAGAAGGGAAGAAACCGCACCGUGCUAAUCAGCGGUGCAUUGACGGUACCUAGAGAAGAAGCCCCGGCUAACUUCGUGCCAGCAGCCGCGGUAAUACGAAGGGGGCUAGCGUUGUUCGGAAUUACUGGGCGUAAAGCGCACGUAGGCGGACAUUUAAGUCAGAGGUGAAAUCCCAGGGCUCAACCCUGGAACUGCCUUUGAGACUGGGUGUCUUGAGUACGAGCGAGGUGAGUGGAAUUCCGAGUGUAGAGGUGAAAUUCGUAGAUAUUCGGAAGAACACCAGUGGCGAAGGCGGCUCACUGGCUCGUAACUGACGCUGAGGUGCGAAAGCGUGGGGAGCAAACA